GCUGGGCAUGGUGGCAGGCACCUGUAAUCCCAGCUACCCGGGAGGCUGAGGCGGGAGAAUUUCUUGAACCUGGGAGGUGGAGGUUGCAGUGAACCGAGAUCGCGCCAUUGCACUCCAGCCUGGACAACAGAGUGAGACUCCAUCUUUUUUUUUUUUUUUUUUUUUGAGACAGAGUCUCACUCUGUUGUCCAGGCUGGAGUGCAAUGGCACGAUCUCGGUUCACUGCAACCUCCGCCUCCCAGGUUCAAGAAAUUCUCCCGCCUCUG
Non-coding RNA from Pan troglodytes (chimpanzee), 266 nucleotides. The record is from Rfam. Lineage: Eukaryota; Metazoa; Chordata; Mammalia; Primates; Hominidae.